This 301-nucleotide ribosomal RNA is filed under the name uncultured bacterium. RNAcentral's name for it is "partial 16S ribosomal RNA". It matches the Rfam family "Bacterial small subunit ribosomal RNA", at positions 509 to 807 of the family's 1533-position model. The record is from RNAcentral.
CAGCAGCCGCGGUAAUACGAAGGGGGCUAGCGUUGUUCGGAAUUACUGGGCGUAAAGCGCACGUAGGCGGAUCGAUCAGUCAGGGGUGAAAUCCCAGGGCUCAACCCUGGAACUGCCUUUGAUACUGUCGAUCUGGAGUAUGGAAGAGGUGAGUGGAAUUCCGAGUGUAGAGGUGAAAUUCGUAGAUAUUCGGAGGAACACCAGUGGCGAAGGCGGCUCACUGGUCCAUUACUGACGCUGAUGCACGAAAGCUAGGGGAGCAAACAGGAUUAGAUACCCCAGUAGUCCCUGUCUCUUAUAC